UGUUUACACGAGGACGAUUUGACACAAAAUGUCAAUUUGGAUUCACGGUACGCUCGGUGGGGCGUUUCGAAUCGGCACAAAAAAUAACUGUCAUUUAGCACACCUCUUCCA
Long non-coding RNA from Maniola jurtina (meadow brown), 111 nucleotides. RefSeq lists it as uncharacterized. The record is from RefSeq and is a predicted model, not a curated record. The transcript is spliced from 3 exons. NCBI's taxonomy places the organism in Eukaryota, Metazoa, Arthropoda, Insecta, Lepidoptera, Nymphalidae.